This 20-nucleotide unclassified non-coding RNA is filed under the name synthetic construct. The record is from RNAcentral.
CCGGCUCUUUUCAGAGCCGG